CAGAUGUGCAUCUACGACUGUCUUAGUACAUUAUGGGAAAAUUGCUAUAACCGUUCACAUCCGCGGACGUUCUUUACAAUCGAAGAAGCGUGCUCGUUUCGUGAACCAGGAAUGCCUAAUAUAGAGUGCAAUUCCGAGGGAGAAAGACGUAAAUUAAUGGAGAACUGUACAUCAAGCUGCAAAGUUGCUUGCAAGGAGAGAAGGUAUACAAUCAGAGUUCAAGAUAGGCCGUUUCAAGAUUGG
This is a long non-coding RNA of Parasteatoda tepidariorum (common house spider), 243 nucleotides long. RefSeq lists it as uncharacterized. The record is from RefSeq and is a predicted model, not a curated record. Lineage: Eukaryota; Metazoa; Arthropoda; Arachnida; Araneae; Theridiidae.